Molecule: ribosomal RNA, 462 nt
Filed under: Platysaurus monotropis
Lineage: Eukaryota; Metazoa; Chordata; Lepidosauria; Squamata; Cordylidae
Description: partial 12S small subunit ribosomal RNA
Rfam family: Bacterial small subunit ribosomal RNA
Source: RNAcentral
GCCAUAAACUAAGAUAGAAAAAUACAACCUAUCCGCCAAAGAAUACGAGCAAAAUGCUUAAAACUUAAAGGACUUGGCGGCAUUUCACAUAAAUCUAGAGGAGCCCGUCCUAUAAUCGAUAUUACGCGUUAAACCAAACCACUUUUGGCCACUCCAGCCUAUAUACCGCCGUCGCCAGCUAACCUUGUGAAAGACAAAAAGUUAGCAAAACAGCCAUCACUAAAACGUCAGGUCAAGGUGUAGCUAAUAAAGUGGAUGAGAUAGGCUACAUUUUUUGACACAAAAAACACGGACGGUACAAUGAAAUCUUGUACCCAAAGGUGAAUUUAGCAGUAAAAUUAGAAAGAGCUCUAAUUUUAACACCACCCUGAAAUGCGCACACACCGCCCGUCACCCUCCUCAAAAAAUUAGAUGAGGUAAGUCGUAACAUGGUAGGCGUACUGGAAAGUGCGCCUGGACUAA